This 468-nucleotide ribosomal RNA is filed under the name uncultured bacterium. RNAcentral describes it as "partial 16S ribosomal RNA". It matches the Rfam family "Bacterial small subunit ribosomal RNA", at positions 28 to 507 of the family's 1533-position model. The record is from RNAcentral.
GACGAACGCUGGCGGCGUGCUUAACACAUGCAAGUCGAACGGAAAGGCCCUGCUUUUGUGGGGUGCUCGAGUGGCGAACGGGUGAGUAACACGUGAGUAACCUGCCCUUGACUUUGGGAUAACUUCAGGAAACUGGGGCUAAUACCGGAUAGGAGCUCCUGCUGCAUGGGGGGGGUUGGAAAGUUUCGGCGGUGGGGGAUGGACUCGAGGCUUAUCAGCUUGUUGGUGGGGUAGUGGCUUACCAAGGCUUUGACGGGUAGCCGGCCUGAGAGGGUGACCGGCCACCUUGGGACUGCGAUACGGCCCAGACUCCUACGGGAGGCAGUAGUGGGGAAUAUUGCACAAUGGGCGGAAGCCUGAGGCAGCAACGCCGCGUGCGGGAUGACGGCCUUCGGGUUGUAAACCGCUUUCGCCUGUGACGAAGCGUGAGUGACGGUAAUGGGUAAAGAAGCACCGGCUAACUACGUG